AUCGCUUCUCGGCCUUUUGGCUAAGAUCAAGUGUAGUAUCUGUUCUUAUCAGUUUAAUAUCUGAUACGUCCCCCAGCGGGGGGGACUACAUAUUAAGCGGAUUUUUAGAACAGGGAGUCGGCAAAGGAGCUUGCUCCAUCCGCUCCACGCAUCGACCCAGUAUUGCAGUGCCUCUGGGAGCGGUGCACUUUCU
Denticeps clupeoides (denticle herring) is the source of this 193-nucleotide small nuclear RNA. Its record names the gene U2. It matches the Rfam family "U2 spliceosomal RNA". Rfam says of the family: U2 is a small nuclear RNA (snRNA) component of the spliceosome (involved in pre-mRNA splicing). Complementary binding between U2 snRNA (in an area lying towards the 5' end but 3' to hairpin I) and the branchpoint sequence (BPS) of the intron results the bulging out of an unpaired adenosine, on the BPS, which initiates a nucleophilic attack at the intronic 5' splice site, thus starting the first of two transesterification reactions that mediate splicing. Lineage: Eukaryota; Metazoa; Chordata; Actinopteri; Clupeiformes; Denticipitidae. The record is from Ensembl.